CUCUAUUCAUUGUAAGCUCGACUCUCUCUCUCUCUAUCUAUGAUCGCCCCUCUAUUUCAAUCAAACUACUGUGUGCAUUCUAGAGAGAGAAAGUGAUGGGUAAGCAGCCGGUGAGAAUGAAGGCGGUGGUUUACACCUUGUGUCCAUUCCGAUAGAAGGUGAUGCUAGGCCUCUAGAAGGAUCUGCCUUGUAAGAUCCACCACAAGAUCUUCGAAAAUUGGGUCAGUGCUACCCUUCUCUUUGGCCCUCUCGUCGGAACUCCUAUGCGCAAUGGUAUCAGGAAAAGGAGACGAUGGAGCAAAGAUACUGAAAAUUUCAUGUUUUAUCUUCUUACUGGCCAUGAUUUUGCCUGCAGAGCUGCAGUUGUUAAACUCUGGAAUUUAAAAUGCUCAUUUGCAUGUAUCUACUUCUAUGACCUUCAACUUUUGUUAAAUCACUUGAUGUUUGAAAUCUGUGGUGUUAUACAAAAAUUUUCUGAAUACUUAUUUUUUAUUUUUCAUGAAUAAAGAAACAGAUUUUGUUAAAAAAAAAAAAAUGCGAUGUUGAUGGGUUACCUUGGUGAUAGGUGUUAUUAGAGGUUUGUGAAGUUUUUUUUUGGUGGUGCAGGCAGAGGUGCUACCUAUCGCAGUGGAUCUGGCAAUGGUGGUCGUCGGUGGUUUGGCUGUCGUGGUCACAAGUGUUGGUCAUAGAUUAUUUGGUUAACCAUGACCAU
This 712-nucleotide long non-coding RNA is filed under the name Olea europaea subsp. europaea. Lineage: Eukaryota; Viridiplantae; Streptophyta; Magnoliopsida; Lamiales; Oleaceae. The record is from RNAcentral.